RNAcentral lists this ribosomal RNA (422 nucleotides) under uncultured archaeon. RNAcentral describes it as "partial 16S ribosomal RNA". It matches the Rfam family "Archaeal small subunit ribosomal RNA", at positions 323 to 746 of the family's 1478-position model. The record is from RNAcentral.
CUACGGGUUGCACCAGGCGCGAAACCUUUACAAUGCACGAAAGUGUGAUAAGGGGAUCCCGAGUGCUUAUACAUUGUAUAGGCUUUUGCCAAGUGUAAAUAACUUGGCGAAUAAGUGGUGGGAAAGACUGGUGCCAGCAGCCGCGGUAACACCAGCGCCACAAGUGGCAUACGUUUUUAUUGGGCCUAAAGCGUCCGUAGCUGGUUUGGUAAAUCUUUUGUGAAAUCGUGGAGCUUAACUCCAUGGCGUGCAGAAGACACUGCCAGACUUGGAACCGGGAGGAGUCAGAGGUAUUCUUGGGGGAGCGGUAAAAUGCUAUAAUCUCAGGAGGACCACCUGUGGCGAAGGCGUCUGACUAGAACGGAUUCGACAGUGAGGGACGAAGGCCAGGGGAGCGAACAGGAUUAGAUACCCGGGUAGUC